Molecule: ribosomal RNA, 447 nt
Filed under: uncultured bacterium
Lineage: Bacteria
Description: bacterial SSU rRNA
Rfam family: Bacterial small subunit ribosomal RNA
Source: RNAcentral
CAUGGCUCAGAUUGAACGCUGGCGGCAGGCCUAACACAUGCAAGUCGAGCGGAUGAGAAGAGCUUGCUCUUCGAUUCAGCGGCGGACGGGUGAGUAAUGCCUAGGAAUCUGCCUGGUAGUGGGGGACAACGUUUCGAAAGGAACGCUAAUACCGCAUACGUCCUACGGGAGAAAGCAGGGGACCUUCGGGCCUUGCGCUAUCAGAUGAGCCUAGGUCGGAUUAGCUAGUUGGUGAGGUAAUGGCUCACCAAGGCUACGAUCCGUAACUGGUCUGAGAGGAUGAUCAGUCACACUGGAACUGAGACACGGUCCAGACUCCUACGGGAGGCAGCAGUGGGGAAUAUUGGACAAUGGGCGAAAGCCUGAUCCAGCCAUGCCGCGUGUGUGAAGAAGGUCUUCGGAUUGUAAAGCACUUUAAGUUGGGAGGAAGGGCAGUAAGUUAAUACC